This 264-nucleotide ribosomal RNA is filed under the name uncultured archaeon. RNAcentral describes it as "partial 16S ribosomal RNA". It matches the Rfam family "Archaeal small subunit ribosomal RNA", at positions 717 to 982 of the family's 1478-position model. The record is from RNAcentral.
ACACGUCUACAUUAGAUACCCCGGUAGUCCCAGCCGUAAACUAUGCGCGUUAGGUGUAUCGGUGACCACGAGUUACCGAGGUGCCGAAGGGAAACCGUGAAACGUGCCGCCUGGGAAGUACGGUCGCAAGGCUGAAACUUAAAGGAAUUGGCGGGGAGCACCACAACGGGUGGAGCCUGCGGUUUAAUUGGACUCAACGCCGGGAAGCUCACCGGAUAAGACAGCGGAAUGAUUGCCGGGCUGAAGACUCUGCAUGACUAGCUG